RNAcentral lists this ribosomal RNA (253 nucleotides) under uncultured bacterium. Its description in RNAcentral is "partial 16S ribosomal RNA". It matches the Rfam family "Bacterial small subunit ribosomal RNA", at positions 524 to 776 of the family's 1533-position model. The record is from RNAcentral.
UACGUAGGGUGCGAGCGUUGUCCGGAAUUACUGGGCGUAAAGAGCUUGUAGGUGGUUUGUCGCGUUGUUCGUGAAAUCUCACGGCUUAACUGUGAGCGUGCGGGCGAUACGGGCAGACUAGAGUACUGCAGGGGAGACUGGAAUUCCUGGUGUAGCGGUGGAAUGCGCAGAUAUCAGGAGGAACACCGGUGGCGAAGGCGGGUCUCUGGGCCGAUACUGACGCUGAGGAGCGAAAGCGUGGGGAGCGAUCAGG